GUAUCACACUAUAUUUACUUUCUAAUUAAUAUUCUCCGAGUCACUGUUUUCUUUUACAUGCAGAUGUUUUCAAGCAUGUGAUUAUGGGAAAGUUAAUAACUCUAUAAGUGAUGACGGAUUCAUUUUGUUGGGGAAGGAAGGGUAAAGUGCAUCAUACGAAAAUUCAAAUAGACAGAACAGAUAAUAGAAACAAACAGAGACAAGCACGGGGUUGGCCAGGUAAAGGCUGGAGAAAACGACCAAAAAGCUUUCCUGAUGCUCUAUGCAGCUUUUGUAAGAAAACUGGCACGUGUGAACCAAACUUCUGUGCAGGAUGAAAAUUAUGUACUUUAUUUUAUCUCAACAAUCUCUUUAAAAACUUGUAUACAUAUUAUAUGUAAACUUUUAUCAUUGUACUCACAAACUGAAUAAAUAUGUGAAGCGU
Long non-coding RNA from Ostrea edulis (European flat oyster), 424 nucleotides. RefSeq lists it as uncharacterized. The record is from RefSeq and is a predicted model, not a curated record. The transcript has 4 exons. NCBI's taxonomy places the organism in Eukaryota, Metazoa, Mollusca, Bivalvia, Ostreida, Ostreidae.